Molecule: ribosomal RNA, 571 nt
Filed under: uncultured Glomeromycotina
Lineage: Eukaryota; Fungi; Glomeromycota
Description: SSU rRNA
Rfam family: Eukaryotic small subunit ribosomal RNA
Source: RNAcentral
UUGGAGGGCAAGUCUGGUGCCAGCAGCCGCGGUAAUUCCAGCUCCAAUAGCGUAUAUUAAAGUUGUUGCAGUUAAAAAGCUCGUAGUUGAAUUUCGGGAUUGACACAUCGGUCGUGCCUUAAGGGGUAUGAACUGGUGUAGUCAAUUUCUCACCUUCUGGAGAACCGCGAUGCCCUUAAUUGGGUGUCGCGGGGAACCAGGACCUUUACUUUGAAAAAAUUAGAGUGUUUAAAGCAGGCAUUUUGCUUGAAUACAUUAGCAUGGAAUAAUAAAAUAGGACGGCAUGAUUCUAUUUUGUUGGUUUCUAGGAUCACCGUAAUGAUUAAUAGGGAUAGUUGGGGGCAUUAGUAUUCAAUUGUCAGAGGUGAAAUUCUUGGAUUUAUUGAAGACUAACUACUGCGAAAGCAUUUGCCAAGGAUGUUUUCAUUAAUCAAGAACGAAAGUUAGGGGAUCGAAGACGAUCAGAUACCGUCGUAGUCUUAACCAUAAACUAUGCCGACUAGGAAUCUGACGAUGUUAAUUUUUUAAUGACUCGUUUGGCACCUUACGGGAAACCAAAGUGUUUGGGUUC